RNAcentral lists this ribosomal RNA (498 nucleotides) under uncultured bacterium. RNAcentral's name for it is "partial 16S ribosomal RNA". It matches the Rfam family "Bacterial small subunit ribosomal RNA", at positions 29 to 523 of the family's 1533-position model. The record is from RNAcentral.
AUUGAACGCUGGCGGCAUGCUUUACACAUGCAAGUCGAACGGUAACAGGCCGCAAGGUGCUGACGAGUGGCGAACGGGUGAGUAAUGCAUCGGAACGUGCCCAGUCGUGGGGGAUAACGCAGCGAAAGCUGUGCUAAUACCGCAUACGAUCUAUGGAUGAAAGCGGGGGACCGUAAGGCCUCGCGCGAUUGGAGCGGCCGAUGUCAGAUUGGGUAGUUGGUGGGGUAAAGGCUCACCAAGCCAACGAUCUGUAGCUGGUCUGAGAGGACGACCAGCCACACUGGGACGGAGACACGGCCCAGACUCCUACGGGAGGCAGCAGUGGGGAAUUUUGGACAAUGGGCGCAAGCCUGAUCCAGCAAUGCCGCGUGCAGGAAGAAGGCCUUCGGGUUGUAAACUGCUUUUGUACGGAACGAAAAGGUUUGGGUUAAUACCCUGGGCCGAUGACGGUACCGUAAGAAUAAGCACCGGCUAACUACGUGCCAGCCGCCGCGGUAA